CCCGGAGACCCUUAGGAAACUAGGGGGUGGCUUCCAUCUGGAAGAAGUCUGGAGGACAGGUGCUGCAUGGCUGUCGUCAGCUCGUGUCGUGAGAUGUUGGGUUAAGUCCGCACGAGCGCAACCCUUGCCUUUAGUUGCCAGCAGUUCGGCUGGGCACUCUAAAGGGGACUGCCGGUGUUAAACCGGAGGAAGGUGGGGAUGACGUCAAGUCCUCAUGGCCUUUAUGACCAGGGCUACACACGUACUACAAUGGCCGAUACAAAGGGCAGCGACACUGCGAGGUGAAGCCAAUCCCGUAAAAUCGGUCUCAGUCCGGAUUGGAGUCUGCAACUCGACUCCAUGAAGUUGGAAUCGCUAGUAAUCGUGGAUCAGCAUGCCACGGUGAAUACGUUCCCGGGCCUU
RNAcentral lists this ribosomal RNA (402 nucleotides) under uncultured Desulfobulbus sp. Its description in RNAcentral is "bacterial SSU rRNA". It matches the Rfam family "Bacterial small subunit ribosomal RNA", at positions 988 to 1382 of the family's 1533-position model. Lineage: Bacteria; Pseudomonadati; Thermodesulfobacteriota; Desulfobulbia; Desulfobulbales; Desulfobulbaceae. The record is from RNAcentral.